Molecule: ribosomal RNA, 253 nt
Filed under: uncultured bacterium
Lineage: Bacteria
Description: partial 16S ribosomal RNA
Rfam family: Bacterial small subunit ribosomal RNA
Source: RNAcentral
UACGUAGGGAGCAAGCGUUGUCCGGAAUCACUGGGCUUAAAGAGUCCGUAGGCGGCUUGUUAGGUGAGGUGUGAAAUCCCUCGGCCCAACCGAGGAAUUGCGCCUCAAACCGGCAAGCUAGAGGAGGAUAGAGGUGGGCGGAACUGAUGGUGGAGCGGUGAAAUGCGUUGAUAUCAUCAGGAACACCGGAGGCGAAGGCGGUCCACUGGGUCCUUUCUGACGCUGAGGGACGAAAGCUAGGGGAGCGAACGGG